RNAcentral lists this ribosomal RNA (253 nucleotides) under uncultured bacterium. Its description in RNAcentral is "partial 16S ribosomal RNA". It matches the Rfam family "Bacterial small subunit ribosomal RNA", at positions 524 to 776 of the family's 1533-position model. The record is from RNAcentral.
GACGAACCGAGCGAACGUUGUUCGGAAUCACUGGGCUUAAAGGGCGCGUAGGCGGGUGCUCAAGUCCGGGGUGAAAUCCUCCAGCUCAACUGGAGAACUGCCUCGGAUACUGGGUGCCUCGAGGGUGGCAGGGGUAUGCGGAACUAUCGGUGGAGCGGUGAAAUGCGUUGAUAUCGAUAGGAACUCCGGUGGCGAAGGCGGCAUACUGGUCCGAUACUGACGCUGAGGCGCGAAAGCGUGGGGAGCAAACAGG